RNAcentral lists this transfer RNA (75 nucleotides) under Candidatus Pelagibacter sp. RNAcentral describes it as "tRNA-Val". It matches the Rfam family "tRNA". From Rfam's summary of the family: Transfer RNA (tRNA) molecules are approximately 80 nucleotides in length. Their secondary structure includes four short double-helical elements and three loops (D, anti-codon, and T loops). Further hydrogen bonds mediate the characteristic L-shaped molecular structure. tRNAs have two regions of fundamental functional importance: the anti-codon, which is responsible for specific mRNA codon recognition, and the 3' end, to which the tRNAs corresponding amino acid is attached (by aminoacyl-tRNA synthetases). tRNAs cope with the degeneracy of the genetic code in two manners: having more than one tRNA (with a specific anti-codon) for a particular amino acid; and 'wobble' base-pairing, i.e. permitting non-standard base-pairing at the 3rd anti-codon position. The record is from RNAcentral. Lineage: Bacteria; Pseudomonadati; Pseudomonadota; Alphaproteobacteria; Candidatus Pelagibacterales; Candidatus Pelagibacteraceae.
GGGAAUGUAGUUCAGUGGUAGAACGCUACGUUGACAUCGUAGAGGUCGCAAGUUCAAUUCUUGCCAUUCCCACCA